RNAcentral lists this long non-coding RNA (1360 nucleotides) under Homo sapiens (human). RNAcentral's name for it is "HSALNT0284957". The record is from RNAcentral. Lineage: Eukaryota; Metazoa; Chordata; Mammalia; Primates; Hominidae.
CCGUGAAGACUUUUAAAAUAGAGACCAACGUGGCCGGGCAGGAAGAGCAGGGUCCCGCCUUCAGGUGUUUGGGACUCAGCUGAGGGUGUGGGUGCCCCGCGGUGGGGGCUGAACCUUCCUGGGGUGUGGAGAGACGAAAGGAGCCCAGAUCCAAGUUCCCUCGUUCCCGCUUUGGCAUAAGUUGCCCUGGCGGUCUCAUGAGAGAGAGAAAGAGCUGGGACCCUCCUCGCCCCAGUGAGUGUGAUGUCUUGCUCCGGGUGUCCUGGGGCAACUUUCUAUACAGGCGGGACGUGGGAGGAUCAGACAGUGUAACAUCAGACAAGGGUGUUGACUCUGCAGCACAGAACCAGUAGUUUGUGGAGAAGAAUGGAGGUGUGGUGUUGAAUCUGCUAGACAGGCUACUGAAGCAAAAGUCAAGAGAUCCAGAUUCCAUCAUGGGGACACUUUAGUUCUUCAUCGGGUAAUUGAGCUGAUAUCAGGUGUCUGAAGGAGGCAAGUUUUGAAGAUGUGGGUCAUGAUGGCUGCUGAAGCUUCCACUCCAUAUUUGAAGGUCAGCAGUUCUCAGGAAACCUCUAGCACUUCCAUCCCUGGUGGGAUGUGAUGCCUGUCUCAGUGUAACAUCAGAGAAGGGGUGUACUCUGUGCCCUAGAACUAGGAGCUAACAGAGAAAAACCAAAUGUGAUGUGGAGUCUGCUAGACAGGCUACUGGAGCAAGAGUGAAGCGAUGAAAGUCUCAUCAUUGGGACAUAUUAGGGAGGCAGCAGGUGGCUGAAAUCCUGGUGUGAUGUGGCUGGAUCAUGCAUGAUCUGAGGACUCCUGCACAGGUGACUGCAGGAUGAGUACAGAAUUUUUCUAUAAAUAUACUAAAAUACCAAGUAAGCCAGGAGCAGCCACUAGGCAAACACCAAACCUUGCAUUCCUGGCCAAACCUAUCACAGAGCUCAUCAGAUGCAGUGGAUCCCCAGGUUGCAAGUCAUAUAACCUGAGCAUGCCCAGAUGAACCAAGUAUGCCUGAUUGGUGAACCUGGAACUGGCCAGAACAGAAAAUGUCAACCACAUGUGGAAUCUAAGUAUUCAGAUUGAGAAAUGAGGACCAAAAUGAGAACACUGAGCUCCUCACACAGGUGACUGAACCCGUGGUUUUGGUGUCUGAGAAGAUGCAGCUUCUCCAGUCUCUGCAACUGACGGCAGGAAGAUGGGAGCACUCAGCUUCAGUGUUCAGAAGCAGAUUUAGGCCAAUUGCCAUACCUUACGUUCUGGAGGGAUCCACCCUGACCUGAGCAGAAGGCAUCACACACAUUCCCAAGCAGCAUGGUUCCCGUGAGAAACUGAAAACUAAUUUCUUGAAUCUACAAUGCGA